RNAcentral lists this transfer RNA (63 nucleotides) under Cavia porcellus (domestic guinea pig). It matches the Rfam family "tRNA", at positions 5 to 66 of the family's 71-position model. Rfam says of the family: Transfer RNA (tRNA) molecules are approximately 80 nucleotides in length. Their secondary structure includes four short double-helical elements and three loops (D, anti-codon, and T loops). Lineage: Eukaryota; Metazoa; Chordata; Mammalia; Rodentia; Caviidae. The record is from Rfam by way of RNAcentral.
GUGUAGCUCAGCAGUAGAGUACAUGUGUACAAUGCAUGAGUCCCUGGGUUUAAUCCCCAGCAC